Non-coding RNA from Callithrix jacchus (white-tufted-ear marmoset), 25674 nucleotides. Lineage: Eukaryota; Metazoa; Chordata; Mammalia; Primates; Cebidae. The record is from RefSeq and is a predicted model, not a curated record.
UAUAGAGAUAGGGUCUGCUAUAUUGCCCAGGCUGUUCUUGAACUUCUCACCUCAAGCAAUCCUCCUGCCUCAGUUUGCCAAAGUGCUGGGCUUACAGAAGAACAUCGAGGGGAAACAACUUUUACUUGAUCGGAGGAUAACGGAACUAUUCACUUCCCAAGGGUUCAACUGAAAGACCCUCCAAUCAGACUGACCUGUAUCUGCAACUCUCCUGAUGAGCUCUGAGCCUUCUCAGUGCUACAAAUACUUAUAUCAGGCAGAGGUGGGUUGGGAUCUAAAAUUUACUUAUCCUAAUAUGAGUAAGAUGAUUCUAUUACAUUCUUCCUAGAGAAUAUAUCCUUCAUAGAAAUAUAGGAAGAAAGAGCUUGCAUUUGGUUAGGAAUAUAGAUUAUGAACAACCUCCUUAUCCUGAAAGCUGAGAUAAUAUCGUGUCAUGUGGUAACAAAAAAUAAGAUAAUUUGUAUAAAGUAGUUAGUUUGUAGCAAAGUAUAUAGUAAAGUCAUAACGGCAGCAAGGAAAGAAAUAUUGAAGGAAAAUUUUAAAAGACAUUAGGUCAGUUGGUAUCUGUUUUUAGCAAGUAAACAAACAAGUAUACUUUCUCUUUUCUGCCAAUAAAUAGGUUAGGAAGCAGCUGGAAGGCAACAUCAUCUGGCUUCUAGGAGGUCACACCUUCAAUGAGUUAUUAUUUUAUUGCUCCUUGGGAGCCUCCACUGAACGUGGUGUUCUUUCACUUCUGAAAUUCCAGGGAAUUCUUUUCAGUAUAGAAAAUUGACAACUAGUGCUUUUUUAAUCAUAGAAGAUAGUGUUUGUUGACCCAACAUGCGAUCCAAAGUGGUUAGAAAGUCUUUCGCAAGUGUACUAAAAAUGGCUGCCACCUUCCCGUUUCCACCCCUCCACACACAGCUUCUUGUAAAUACCCCCUCCACACAUACCCCACCAUACAUGGUGUUCUCUCUGAUAAGAAGAAAGCUGUACAGACCACAUGACCUCAGCUCACCUUCAUUCUCCUCCAUGCCCAAGGCUGAGGCUGUGGUGGCCAGUCAUUUGUAAGCUGUUCAGGCACCUUCAGCAUGGCCUUGUUUGAAAAGAUAAGAGAUUAUCUUUGGGGAAUUUUGUAGGAAGGGAAUAGAGCAAUGAGCAGUGAAGCUGAAAGUUGAUGCUCCAGACAGAGACUAAGAUAGCCAUCAUGGAGAACGAUUUAAGCUUGUGGGAAAAUAGAAAGUAUGACUAUGAAUAAGUAUGAUGUAUAACAUAAAGACAUGAUUUGCAAUGUAGAGAAAAUAUUACAGAUUAGAAAGUGAAAACGCCAAAGGGGAGAGAUGAGGGAGUGAAGUAGAUUUCUACGUAGGUAGAGAGUUUAAUAUAAUGUAGACCAUGGAAUCCUUCCAUGUUCUCCAUCAUAAAAUUCAAAGAAACCUCAUGACUUACUCAAGAUGCCUGUAGGAGCAGGAGAUGCCAUUGUGUUUUGCCCAAACAUUUGUUUAUCAAUUUUUUUCUUUAAUGAAUGUGUACAUUUUCUAAAAUGAAUAUCAAAGAAUGCUUCAUUUGUUUAUGUAUUUAAAAUAUGUAUUGACUACCAAUGAUAUAUAACAGCCUCUGCUAGACUCAAUCCUAGUUCCAGUGCAUGCACUUGGAAUCCAAGGACCCUACUUGGCAGGGCUGACAGUUUUAUGUUAGGAGACAGCUAAGGAAGCAUAUUUAUGGAGCACAUGUGAGAUUUUGUUACAUGCAUAGAAUGUGUAAUGAUCAACUCAGGGUAUUUGAGAUGUCCACUGCUUUGAUUAUGUGUCAUUUCUAUGUGUUAGAUGCUGUGACACUGAUAAAGACAGGAUAUGUAAACGUGGGAGCUCAGAGGAGGAAUGUCCAGCUCCAACAGUUUGCUAGCUGUGGGGAAGAAAGGGUAAGGAAGUUUCCUCAGAGAAUUACAUCUGAGCAUAAUUAUGGCAUGCCAUCAACCUCAGCCAGGUGAAGGGCAAAGAGAAAUGCAUCCAUGAAAGCCUCCAGGAGACAGAUUGCAGUAUUCAGAAACUGCAGCAACAACAACAAAUCACAUAUUCCUGGAUGACAAGGUGUGAGAGGAGGAAUGAUGAGAGAGUUGUUGGACAGCAGGGGGAUUCAAACCAAGGACCAGCACAUGUGAGCUGGUUUUUGGCAUACUACAUAGUUUUGACUUCAACCUUACAACAUAGUAUUUUAAGUUAAAGAGCGAUAUGUUCAUAUUUGCAGCAGGGAGGUGGAGAAGUGUUUGUUGAGACAUUAAAAGAGCAGAAUUUACUGAACUUGGAAGGCUUAGCAUGGUACCCUGAUUUCUGGCAUCUCAGGGAGUUAAGGCAACAUGACGAGUAGGAGGAAUAGCAGUUAUUAUCAAGAGAAUGCAAAUGGCUUUGAAAUGUUGAGUUGGGGUUUCCAUGGGAUAUACAGGUAGAAAGCAGAGUCAGUAGUAAGAUACAAAUAGGUCUGGGACACAGGAGAGAAUCCCAAGAGGGGUAUUAAGCUUCCAUCUCUGUAAUAGUCAUAUGGUUGGGCAUUUCGUUUGCUUUGUGCUAUACAACUAUUUCAAGUUCUUUACAUUUUCUUUCCUUUCUUUUUCUUGAGACAAGAUCUUGCUCUGUCAUCCAGGCUGGAGUCCAGUGGUAUGAUCAUAGCUCACUUUGGCCUCAAACUCUUCAGCUCAAAUGAUCCUCCCACCUCAGCCUACUGAGUAGCUGGGACUGCAGGCAUGGACCACCAUGCCUGCUAAUUUUUUAUUUGUAUUUUUCUAUAGAGACAGGGUCUCACUGUGCUGACAGACUAGUCUCAUACUCCGGGCCUCAAGCAAUCCUCCUGCCUCUGCAUUUUCAAAUCUAAAAAAAAAAAAGCAGUUUAGAAAUUAUUCUCCUUAUUUAUAGAUCUAAGGGUCUAUAUUUUAUCAAGCUGUAGGGUCUAGAAAUCAAAUUUUGAGUGGACAAACAAAAUCAAGUUUCGUCUCAUGUAGAAAUGUGAAAGAAACAGGACACAGUUUACCUCGUUUUUAUGUGCAGCAGAGUGUUACUGUAAUAGGUUAGCGCAAAAAGGAAAAAUCCUAAAUUACAGUCACUUUGCCAUAAUUUUUAAUAUUUAUAUUCUCUCAUAGUUCUAUGGAUGACAUGCCCAUUAUAGACACUCUGAAACUGAGGAGAACCAGGGUUCUUUCUGCAUGUUUAUGUUGGAUGUGAAUAAGGUAAGAUUACUGCUUCUGUUGCACUGUGGAGCUCAACAUUAGGUCUAGCCAAUGUGGUUAGCUAUACUGUGUCUUCUACCACCACAAACAGAAAACCUUGGUAGCAAACACAGAAUGAACUUCCUUGAAAGUAGAGAAACAUUCAUUGGCUAAGUUAUGUGAGAAUAGGAAUGAAUGAUGCAAACAGUGGCAGAAAUGCUGAUGGAAGAACUGAUAGAUGCAGAUCUAUUUUAGAGACCCCUUAACUGCCAGGGGACAUGAAUUGCCUGGCUGACUGAAUUGACUCUAGAAAUGAUGCUGUCUGGCUGCUAAGUAUACAUAUUUGAGAAAAAGGUGUGUGAGGGCAGUGUCCAUUUCAUUACUUGCCAUGAGUCCUCAGGGCUUAGCAGAAUACCAGGCAGAUACAUGCUUUACAAGCAUGUGUUGAAUGAAUGAGAAAAUGAAUAGAAUAAUAUUUUCAUGAGUAGCCAUGGAUUGAGGUUAAAAUUAAAAAGAAGAGCCCCCAGGAGGUCUUGAUUGAGCCUUAUGCUUUCGGUCACUCUUCUGCUCAGCUUUGUGGAAUAAUUUGCAGCACUAGAAAUGGGCUUAACAACUAGGAUGAGGGGGUUUUGUUUUUGGGAUCAAACCUUUUUUCAUCAUGAAAGCUACUGGGUGGCCUCUGACAUGAUGUGUUUAGUUAUCAAACAUGUCAGUUAAUACCAUGGAGAGAACACAUGUAUUAAAAGUGACAGAUAUAACAAGGGUCAAGGAUUAAAGGUGAAUUGCAAAGGGCUUUUUACUGCAUCUCUGUUGUUAUAACAGUUUCUAAUAGGUUGGAUACAUGAACAAAAAGAAUGAUGAGGAGUCCUGGUGAGCAGAAUCUCUCUUCUCCAGCAAACCAGGAACUUUUCCCCCCCACAUUGAGCUAAAUGUUCUUUAAAUGCUAUAAUUGUUACUACGUAUCUGUGCUGUUUGUGAGACAGCACAAACAUAUUUGAAACAUUCAGCAGUUCUUUCUUAUUAACUUUCAUUGGUUAUAUUUUCCUUGUUACAAAAGUAUUAUUGGCUCAUUAUCAAAAAUUAAUGAAUAAAAACACCAGUAUAGACAGUUAAAAAGUGGAGUAAUGUAGUAGCCUAAAUAUGACAUUGUUAGCUGUACAUUCCUACAGUUUCAAUUGAAGAUGGCAUUUUAUCCCUUAAUCAGACACAAAGUACUGUUAGAGAACUUCCUUUUUGCCUACCACUACAUUGUAUGCUGUGGUAUAUGCAGGAAUUCCCAAUACAGACAUGGAAAUGAUGAAUAAAUGCAAGGGGAAAUCUCAUUGCAUAUCUCUCUGUCCAGCAGGCGAAGAUAAUAUUAUGCUGUGCAGUGGUGGUAAUUAGAGAAUAUCAUGUGACUGUGAGUUUUUGAGGACAGUGGCCAAUAUCUGUAUCUUUGUAUCCCCAAGGGUGUUGGCUAAAACGUUCAGUUAGCACUUUGAAUGAAUGAAUGCUUAUUGAGUAAAGAGUCAACUGCAUGUGACAAUAAAUGCAGUAAGAAUUAGUCAAGAGGGAAACAAGUGUGGCCUGCAGUCACCAACAGAAGUUUGAAGUUCCAAGCUACCCAAAUAUCUGUGUUAAUCAUAUGUUUAAUCAUAUUAUUAAAGCAUUUAGAUUAUGAUGUUUGGAAGUUGUGUGCAAAACCAAGAAAAAUUUGAGCAAGUUUUUGAAGUUCCUUUCUAUUCUCUGAUUUAUCUGCUGGUUAUGGUGUUAGGGCUAUUACUGUCUUACAGAUCAGUUCUACACUGUAGUAAUUAACUGGGUAAUGAAAGCAAAAAGUAAUUAGAAGCACUAUGACAUAUGAAGGAAUUAGUAUCACCUCCCCAGAGGCUUCUCUGUCUCUUCAGCAUAAUCUCUGCCUCAGUUAAACUUAAACUUAGGUGUUUACUGCCUCAAAAGCAAGUAUUUCCCUUGAAAAGCAGAUUUAUUUAUUUCGUUUUUCUUUUUUGAGGUGGAGCCUCACUCUGUCACCCAGGCUGGAGUGCAGUGGCAUGAUCUUUGCUCACUGCAACCUCUACCUCCUGGGUUCAAGCAAUUCUUCUGCCUCAACCUCCUGAGUAGCUUUGACUACAGAUAUGUGCCACCAUCCCUGACAAUUUUUUUUUUUUUUUUGCAUUUUUAGUAGAGAUAGGGUUUCAGUAUGUUGGCCAGGCUUGUCUCGAACUCCUGACCUCAGGUGAUCCACCUGCCUCGGCCUCCCAAAGUGCUGGAAUUACAGAGAGAAGCUGCAAGUUUUGUAUUAGCUGAAUGUUAUUAUUCCUCCUCAAACAUUUUAGGAUAAAGAUAUAAUGUGAUAGUUUUAGGUGACUUUUUGUGUGUAACAUUUGAGCUCUAAGGAUAAAAAUAUAUCUUUCUAUAUAAUACAUUUCAAUAUCUAUUUAAUGUGCCAGUUGUAAGAAUUUUCUGACUGACAUUGAUCAUUUUCCUUGAGAAUUAAGUCAUUUCCUUCUGGGAAUUAGUAUAAUAAAUUUAUCAUAUGCUUAAGGGCCUUGACUAAAUAAGUUCUCUUCCUCACUAUUUAUUCAAAUGUAAUUCCAUUGAAAAUCUGACUGCUGUUUUAGAGAUUACAGUAAGGCAAAGCAUUUCUCAGAAGACAAAUAUAGACUCUAAAGUUACUAUAAUGACAUUUGGCAAAUUACAUAAUCUGAGUUCAUUUUUUUCUCUUCUCUCCCUCCUCCCUUGUCACAAAGCCUACAGGAAGACAUACUACAUAUUUUGACACUAUUUUUUUUUUUUUUUUUGCUUUCAAUAGCUGUAUUCUUACUCACCGCUUUUAAAUAAGAUGUCUUUCUUAUGUUUUUUAUCUCAACGGUAUAUUCAGAGGCUGGAAGACUUGAAUGGAGACUGGCUACCCAGAUAGAGCCCCCUUUGUGGUGUUUUCCUUGGUGAUAUGAUUCUCAGGACUACAGGCUGAGAACUGUGAUUUUGCUAGCAGACUAGGUAGAAGUAGAUCUGUUUCUCAAAAUGAGGUUCAUGUUAACAUCAUUCACAUGUUGUAUUAAACACAAACCAGAGUGCCAAGAUAUUAUUUACAAUGAGCAAUAUAACUGUUAAAUUGGACAUGGUGCUCAAGUCAACAACAAUUCACAGACUCUUCUCCCGGUAGAGAAGCAACAUGGGGAUCCAAAUUGUAAUCAGAAUGCCAAAUUAUCAAUUUAUAAUGAGAAAUGCAUCUGUCUGAUGAGAAUGUUUAGUUAGCCCGAUAAAUUCAUUGUCUCCCUGUAGAUGAGUGACACAAGAUGCCAAAUUUUCUGAAAGUUGCUAGAGAAUACGGCUUUAAAACAAUGGGAAGAUACAUCUUAUGUUCUGUCUUCCAAUUAAGAAGGUUUUAACAUCCCCACCUCUACCAGGCUGGCCUCACCCAGAAAACAAUACUGCUUUAGUCUCUAUAACCAAUGUGGGUGCAAUAAUGUUUAUUUUCUGCCUUUCUUUUUUCUUUGCUUUUCUCAACCAACUACCUCUCUCCAAUAAAUGUGUAUGACACAAUUCAUUAGGCUUUUGUCUAUCAUAGUAUUAAUUCAUUGAGUAUCAAUCAUAUUUCAGACUUGCUGCCCUAAAAUUACUUCCAUAUUAUCUUUAUUGAUAUCAGGGCUAUGUUCAAACGUACCAAUCAAACAUGUAUAGUUUACUGACCUAACCUCACAUUUAUUUAAUUAUAUAUUUUAUUUUUAAAUCCUGCAAAUCAACUCAUUGCAGUCCUUGGCACUGAAAAUACCUCUAUUUCUUCACUGCAUUUCCUGAAGUGGCAAAAAUGCCAAGACUAUGAGACCCAAGGGGAAAUAAUAGUGUUUUCUGCCCCUAGUGUUUAAUGCAAAUUGAAGUGAAAAUAUGGCUUGCCUUGGAAAAGUAUGAAAAGCAGUAACAACAACAAAAAUAAUCUAAAAUCUUGAUUCUCCUCUUUUGGAGAUGGCAAAGCGAUAGUAAAGUUGAUAAAGAGAUGAUUUGGGGAAUGCAGGUACUUUUUUGCAUUAAUGAGUAGACUGACUUCUAACAUCUCCUGGAUCUAUUUGUGAAUUGGCUCCAGAAUCUCUUGCUAUCAUCUACCCUACAGCUGGAGACACACCAUCUCCCAAUAGUUUCUGGGUCACCUUCAAAGACGUCAGCUUCUUCACCAUAAAGAUGGCAAAAAGUAGAAUAAUUGCACUGUAUCUUUGACCUUUGAUGAGAAUUGAUCAGUUUCUUUUUCUAAACUGAUAUGACAAGCACUUCUAAUUUAUGUUAAUAGAUCCCUUUAUAGACAUAAUAUGUUUAUAUUUAAAUCCUAAGAUAAUCUGGAAUUAUGGAAUUAUACAACUGUAUAACAAUAUUGUACUUGAUCAGUUACUGCUUUUCUUUUCCCAUUUAUUUAUUUUGUAUUGAGUCCUACAUUGGCAAAAGGCCUGGUGCAUUGCAUUGAGUUCUGCAUGUUUGAACUUCACAAAGGUUCAAAGGUUUGCACAUGGCCUGGAACGAUAAACAUUUGUCCUAAAGUCAUUCUUCAGCUUCUGACAUGGCUUGUGAUUUAAUUGUCACCUCAUUAAUAUGGGCCAUUGGGUGUGAAUUUUUCAAAACAAGAUACAUCAAGAGAACUGAGUGAAAUGUUUCAUGUUCAGAGGUUUUUACCACUCCUGUUCCCCGCUGCCGAUGUUUUGUAAACUUUCAACUUCAACAGACUGGUUUGAUAAACAUACCCUGUCUUCUAGGUCACUGGGUUAAGGAUCAGUUCAGUCUUUUUGAACUUUUCACUUUUCCUGUAUAAGUAUAAGCGAAGUACUUACUGGGUUCCAAAACUGAAAGCCUAUGAAGAUAAAGGGCCUUAUUGAAAUAGUGAAGUGAGAAAAAUAUCUUUAUGGUUCCUGACCUUGUCCUCCUGGGCUUUGUCCUUCUAUUAGUGAAUGACACCUUGCCCUCAGGUUCCCUGUAUUUAUACCUUUCUAGUGUUUUUGCAAUUUAGAAAAGUGUGUUUAAUAGACCAAUAGGGUGACUGUUGUGUACAAAAAUCUUUCUAUUUCAAAAUAACUAAAAGAGAAUAGAUUGAAUGUUUCUAGCAUAAACAAAAGACAAGCAUUUAAGGUGAUACGUAUUCCAAUGACACUGAUUUGAUCUUUACAAAUUGUACAAAUGUAUUAAAUCACCAUAUGUAGCUCAAAAAUAUGUACAACUAUUAUGUAUCAAUUUAAUUUUUUUUAAAAAGGACACGGUGAAGGAACAUAAUUAAACUUGUUUAUUUAAUUGCUAAUCAUCAAAUUUUAUAGGGAAGGAAGAAGAAAAUCUUCAGGAACUGAAACUUGUAAGUCAAGGGGCAUGGCUGUAUUUAAAGGCUAUUUAUGAAGCCCUCUAUAUAAAAGUUAUACAUAGCCUAUAUAAUAAAUAAGAACCUGACAUUAUACUGGUACCUAGCACAAUGCACGCAUUGCACACAAAAAGCACUUUAUGAUUACUAUUAUUAUACACACAAAUACAUAUUUACUUAUCAAAGUAUUACAUCAUUGCUCACACGAAGCCGUAUCAAAAUACUGCUGAUGAAAUGUAUAAGUCUCUUGCUCUGUUCUCCUCAAUGCCAUUCUCUUUCACUAGAGAAAUCUUUUUAAUUCUUUUUAAUUUUUAAAUUUUUUACUGGCUAUGUUAGGCAUUCUGGUAGGGCACUCAAUUUCUGAAUCAAUCAGAGUUAGGUAAUUCAUUCUGCAAUUGGGAAGAUGGAGAUUUUGCUCAUUUAUACUUGACUCUCCUUCUAUUAAUCUUCUCCUUCUAUUCAUGUAACUGUAACAUAGCUGCAAGCUGUAAGUAAAACACUUAAUACCAUUUUCUUAUUCUGAUGUCUUGCAACAAUAUCUCUUUAUUCCCCAUGAGAUGAAAUGAAGUUCUUGGUCUCAUACAGUUUCCCCAACUUUUUCUCACUCGUUUCAGGCCCUGCUUCUGUUGAUCACUCUUUCUGUGUUUAGAUUGUUGAUAUUUGCACUUUCUGCAAAAAAUACAAUGGUCUUUUCCCAAAGGUUAACUUUAAAAAUGGAGCAAUAAACAGUAUUAAUAUUAUUAAUGGCCACAUAAAUAUCAUUUAAUGUUAGGUAAAAAGUAUGUUAGGAUUAUGUUUUUUAAGAGAUUGGUGUCAUGACCCAUAACUCACUGAAAAGAAUUCCUAGCAUUUGAGUUCAAAUAAAUGAUUAUUUCCUUAUAUUUAGUCAAUUGCUUAAAAUUAAGCUGUGUUUAUUUUAUGUAUUGUUUUCCUUCAUCAUAUCAUCAUUUUUUUUUAAACUCUCUCUCAUAUUAUCUAGUCUAUUUGGUCUAGUUUCCCCUACUUCAAAUAGGACUCCCUUCGAGAGUCCUAUUUUUCCCUGCUUCAUACUGGACUUACAGCUCCAAGACAUCCUGCUUUAUUGCUAAUCUCCUAAGUUUGGUGUUACUGGUGUUAUUGAACUUCUUGGUUAGAUCUGAUGUUUUGAUAGCUUCCUAUUUUUUGAAUUAUCCUUUGGUUUUAUUAUAAUACACCAUAAAGUAACUUCCUAAGAGAACGCAAACAGGAGGUAAAUGUUCUGUUUCUUACAUACUCUCAUAUUUGUGUGACCCUUUAGCCAACUAUAAAAUUCUAGGUUGAAAGAGUUUUCCUUUCAAAAUUUGAAAGCACCACUCCAUUGUUAUUAAUGAGAAAUAAACUACUAGUCUUACUCUUCCUGUUUCCCUUUUAGGAGGGAAAACUUAAAAAUUAAAACUUUUAGGAGCAUCUCAUUAUUUUAGGUAUUUACAUGUCUUCAAUGACAUAGAUGAGAACCCCUUUUGCACUUAUUACAAUGUGCACUCAGUAAAACUUCUUGGUCUAUAAAUUAAAGUCUUCCUUUGAGCUAAGGGAAAUUUUAUUUCCGUCUUUUCUUUAAUUUUUCCUCUCCUUCAUUUCUCUCUUCUCUUUCUCUAACUUUCAAAACCUGGAUGUUAGAUCUUCCAGAUUUAUCCUUUCUCAUGAUUUCUGUCUUUAUACUUUGGUCUAAUUAGCAAGAGUUCCUUUGCUGUGUUUUAGUACUUCUACUGUUCUGUUUAUUUAUUCCAACAACUAUGUUUUUGGUUUCUAGGAAGUCUUUUUUGCUCUCUAUUUUAACUGUCCUUACCUUACAUUUUUAUUUUUUUGUAAUAGUUUCUCCAAUUUGUGUAAGUUUAUCAGAGUUUCUAUUUUCUUCCUUCCUUUCUUUUUUUUCUUGCACUAUAUUUGUUUUCAUCUUGUCCAUCUUAGUCUUUCUCCAUAAUAUUUCUGGAUCUCGUAAUAUAUUUGUUAUGCUCAAUUGUCUAUUUGUAUUUAAGCAGAAAAAUGUCAGACUGCUUUGGUUUUCUUUUGAUCUAAUGAACUAUUUAUACUUAAAGCCUUUAUCCUGAGUGAGAACUGUGGGAAUAGAGGAAAGCAGAAGGGGCAGGUGAUCAGAUAUAUUAAAGAGGUGAAAUUUGGCAUCAAUGAGCCUCCACCAUAAGAGAAUGUGAAAAUUGCUAUUCCCAGAUGCCAGCAUCUAACUAAAGCCUUGUUUUCUCCUGGGAGGUAGUUCAGUUUUUUAGAUAACAAACAAUAAUUUUUGUUUUGCUUUGUUUUGGUUUUUGGUUUGGGGGGUUGCAUAGUUACUAUUUUUUUCAGAUGAUGAUGAUUAUUUGCUUGGAAUUAUUCAUGUUGUUUGUUUCCUGACAUCUAGAAUGGAGAUGAUGGAUGGCACAGAACAGCAUAGUAGCUGUUUUAUGUAUGGAGCUUACACUGGGUUUUGUUUUCAGUCAUAGCUUUUAUUUCUACCCUUGGACUCCCUGAAGUUUUUGUUUUCUUUUUAUUUCUUCAGGGUCUCCUGCCAAUUUUGUAGUCACUGUAUAGCAUAUUUUAGACUGCAGCUAUUCUGCCUGUUAAAUCUUAAAAUAGAACAGUAAACACAAUUAUGACCAUGUAAAUAAGUUAAAACUGAGUCAAGAAGUAUGCUAAGUUUUAAGAUUUUUUUACUUUCAGAGACCAGUGUCAUGAACUUCCUUCCCAUCAUCCACCUUCACUGUCAUCCCAAAACAGCACCCUCUUUCUUGGUCAUGAUUUACUUCAUUUGUGUUCUGCUAACUUGUUUUAUACUACACUUAUGUUGUCAAAAUAAUUCAUUUAUAUAUAAUUUAAUUUUGUGUAAAUAUUUGACAUAAAAAUACUUAGCAGAAUCUCUCAAAGGAGUGAAGGCAAAAAACUUUUCUGAUUCUUAAUAAUUACUUACCUAGAACAUCACUGAAUCUGUAGUCAAUGAAUGGGAUUCUGAAUUCCUGGACAACAUAUUCUUAAUUUUUAAGUUUUAAAGUACCCCCUUUAAAGCACCAGACCAAUAGUCAAUUAUUAUUGUACUCACCUCUAAUAUUGCAUUAUUCCUGAGUAUGCAACAAAUAUUUGGUCCCUGGAAUUUAUCUUCCCUCAUACAACUAUUCCUCAGUGUAUCAUUUUGUGAUGACAUUUUCUUCUGAGCUUUCUUUACCGAUUUGAUAGGUAUACAGUUUUUCCCAAGAUGCUACAACAAUGCCAGACAAUUCCAGGCUUUCCCGCCUUCCUCUUGUGGUCUGUAAAAACACAUACACUAGUUUGUCGUGUACAGUGUUGUAUGCCCUCUGCCCUUUCACUGGUGAUGUUUUAAAAUGAGCAUUGUAGAAGACCAUGAAUCACAGCAGACAGGUUCCCAGUCCUCUGCUGUCUCCUGAUGUACAUUUUUUCUCUUGUCACAACUAGGAAAGUCAUAUUUCAGUGUUUCGAUUUUGGUGAAUGCCCACAGCAAGGCUAAUGAAGGAAGGAGGCACAAUAGGAAGCUGUUGGCCAGGUGAACUUUUAGAAGACUCUUGAAAGUAGAAGAAGAUAUAGAAAAUGCCUUUAUCACUUAUUGAGAAACAUGAACUACAUUCUUUGUUGUGUUAUAUUAAAAUGUAAAUCACAGGGAUAAAUUAUAAAAAUAAAACUUAACCAAACCAUAAACAGGAGGAGGUAACAGAGGACACAGUAGAUUUCCUAGAAAAUAAUAUUGCAGGACAGACAUACAAGUACCCAAGAUAAUGCAAAAUUCUAAAACUCCCUUAGCCAAGUGUGGAGCACAAAAGUUCUCCUCAGUUCAUGCACUUUUGAGGUAUGUCAUUUGGAAAAAAAGCAUGCUAUAGGAGAUAGUUUUAUUGUGUUUUGUGCAGUGACCUUUUAAAAGGGAAAGGUCCUUUCUGAGAUAUUGUGAGUUCACUCAUGCAUCUAUCAUAGAAUUUGCUUGAAACGAAGUGUGCCUGUCACCCCAACCUUUCUUCAGAGCAAAGCCUGCUUUCUCAAGAAAAGAAAAAUGCUUUAAGAAUGUCAUUCAGAUGGAACAGAAAGAGGUCUUCCCACAUUUGUCUUGCUAUGAAUCAACAGGACCUUCUGGAUUUUGAAAAGUAUAGUAAGAAAUAUUUUUUCAGACCUCAGAGUUGGGGGAACUAGUUUUGUUUAGCUUUGUACAAAUUUCUAGCAUUAUUUGUACAGAUGUGCUAGUGAUUCCGCUGCCUCUUGCAAUCUUACAGCCUCAUGGAGAGUUGAAUAAAUGGUCAUUGCCUGGGUAAAUGAGGACUCUUUCUAAAGUGUUCAAGAGUGGGUCACAUAGAGGGGAAUACCUUCUUCCUGCAUUUAUUUUCAAGUAUCUGUUUUCCUCUAUUCUAUUCUUUUGUAAGGGAUUAAUUUCAUGGUAGUCCCUUUCCUUUUCUCACCUCUUGAUAGCAUGUUAUUCUAAGUGAUUCCUUUGGAUUAUUCUUUAGGUCCCAUUAAAAAAACAGUGCUGGUUUUUCAUUCUUGUUCUCUCUUUAUACUUAAUGCAGAUGCAAUUCAUAUUUGUUUUAUCAAAGUCAUUCGAUAACCUCUUCAAUGACAAAUUCCUGAUUACAGUUGUAUUCUCUUUUGGCAAUCCACAGGGGUUGAAAUUACUCUAAUUUUUGGUACUGUGUAUUAGGUUGAGAUAAAAAACCUUUAAGAAUAAUCUUUUCCUGAUUGAAUAUCUGGAGAAAAAGUACUGAGAAAGGGUGGGAAAAGAUGUUGCACUAUAUGUAAUAAAAGCUAUAAAUGUUGCAUUUUUGUAAACUGCAAAGAUGUAAAUGUUCCUUAAUUAUUUUUAGUUGUCAGACUUAUGUUCCAUUCAAAUGUAUUUCCAGGCUGAGAUAAUUUGAAUGAUGGCCAGCUCUAAGUUGAAUACCAAACUUUAAUUAUUUUUCACUUGAUUAAGAACAAUUUAAGGUGAUAACAGAAUUAUGUAGGGUUCAUUGAGUAUCCCCGAAGUUGGGAACAAUAAUAUAGAAUACAGAAAAGAAGCUCCGAAGAAAACAGCUGUAACUAACCCAUUUGGAAAAAGACCUAAAUCAAAAUAAUAUUUAGUGAAAGAAAAAUACUUUCAGUGAUCAAAUUAUUUGUCUGACCAAUGCUUGAUGGAAAGAUUCCACAUUACUAGUUAUUUGUACUGGAUUUUUCAGUCUGGUAUGAAUGAAAGGGGGUAGAUCUUAACAAUUGUCUCAGGACAAUAGAUGUUAAACUGAAUCUAUUCUGGGAAAACCAGGAUGCCUGGGCCCCCUGGUAAUAGUACAAUUGUCAUACAUCUGUGGUAUAAGCACACAAAUACUAUCUAUUAAUGAAAAAACCAUUCAUCUAAGAAAACUUUCAGUCAAAAACUUUCUAUAAAGCUGUGAAGACAUGUUAUGUCAUGUAUUAAUUUAAAAUCUUUAAGAUGAAGAGCAUCCCUUCAAUGAUUAGGAGAAACAGAAGAUGGAAAUAAAGAUUUUGUUACUUACAGGUCCUGACUGGGGGCAGUACAUGGCAUGCCUGGAGACUGCACAAGGAGAUCAGGGAGUGUGGAAAGGGGGAAUGUGGACUGGGGCACUUGUAUUUAUUGAAGGCCAGGGUGAGAAACUGAAGUGUCAUAGGACGAGGGGAGCAAUUGGGUAAUUUAAAGCAAGCAGGCACAAAAUUCGAAGCAAGCCAGUAUUAAAAACCCUUUCUGGCAAAGAAAUGUUGUCUAGAAAUAUACCUAAGCCAAAGGCUGAGUGUGUGGGUUCGGGUUGAGAGCUACCUCGUCUCACCAGAGAAACAAAAAGGAGAACUUAUCAUCUAAGUUAAAUAGCCAAACAAAAUGGAUGCUGAGGCCACAUAAAAUUAUAAGAAUUAUGAGGUCAAGAUGAUACAGAAAUUCUGGACUUGGUAUAAGGAAGUACUGCAAUGAAUAGCAGGAAGUUAGGGCAGACUACUUCUAGUGUCCUGAGUUUUCAGGUUUCAUCUGGCUGUCAAAAACAUUUGUUCCCUGGAAUGUGAUAUAACUGGUGAUGCUGGCUGGCAGUGCCCCUACUAAUGACUUAGCAGAUGACUCUGAACUGACAAUUUGCCAUCCUUCAGCUGUCCUGGUAAGAAGGAUUCAGUUACCAGCAUGCACAGCACAAAGCAGAAUCCAAACUAUAGAUUUUUUUUUCAAAAACUUAUUGUUAAAGUCUGUUAUUAACAGUUUCGUAAGAAAGGGCUUUUUAAUGCAGAAAUGUUAUAGAGUAUCAUGAAGGAAAAGUAUUUGCUAAGGCCAGGCUGGCCCAAGCUAAUCCCUUUGGGAAUAGCCUUACAUAUUUCGGGGAAGUGGAUCAUUUACUUGUAAGCUACACCUGUCAGCCUCCCUUUUCUACACUUGACAGCUCUUAAACCCACAAUGUAAGAAUUACCGUGAAAAAAUAGACAUUAGUGUAAAACUUUAUGUACUUCUUACAUAACAGUCACAUAUUAGGCGCACAUUUUAAGUACAGACACUGAAACAGCAAUGCAAUUUAUCGGGGAAACUCAAAAUGCUAUAGAAAAAUUUGACUUGGAAAGCACCAAAAAUGGACCUAAUGCAAGUAAAGUAGAAAACAAUGACAUUUGGAAAUAGUCUUGUUUUCUCUUCUUCGUGGACUUGAUUUAUGAAUAUAUGGAAUUUAGACUUUGCUAUGUUUAAAAAAUAUGAAAAUGCACAUAAUGAUUCCCAGGCUACUCCUGAUCGUUUAGUGAUGAUUUGUACAGGAAAAAAAGUGCUUGGGAAGGGGAAGAACUUUGUGGCCAUCGAUAUUUGACCCUGAGCUUGAACUUCACCUUUGGAAGUUAUUGUCAACCAUUUAACUUUUAGAAGAUCCUUUGCACAGCAAGAGAUCUCCUCCACCUUUAAGGUUAAGACAUUAAACUUGGUUUGAAAAAAUUACUUUUUCAAGUACAUUAACUAUGUUUUAUAUAUUAUCCAUACACGAUUACUAAGAAAAUAUAAAAAUUUAUUCAUAUACUGUUAAAUUGGCUCUAAAGAAAAGAAUCACCUUUUUAAUCCCAUUGAGAUUUAGUUUGGCAAACUUUUCAGAAGCUUAUAAAGACGAAAGUACCUGGAUGUAUUUCUCUGUAAACUUUAGCUGUUAACAUCCCUUUUCAAUGCUUGUGUAGUUUCUCAGAACAGAACCUAACCUUCAAGAUGAGUCAUUUGUUCCCAAACUCGAAUUGUUGUGAAACACCCUCCUUGGGUUUCCGUCCCUUGCUGAAUAUGAUUUCUAAGAAUGGGAUGGCAUGGUUGGUGUAUGAAGGUCAUUUGUUCUACAGGUCAGAAGGCCUGUGUUCUCAUCAUUAAUUAACUUUGUGAUGUUGGGUAAAUCACUUAAUCUCUACAGUUUUAUCUUCAGUUAAAUAUAAAAGAAAGACUUUGAACUACAGUUUGUUUCUACUCUAAGAGCUUGAGAUAUUUUAUCUUGGUGACAUCAUGGCUCAUGGGCAUGCUGAGAUCAGAUUAGCAAUUGCAAGAACAGUGGUUAUAGGGUGAAGAAACCUGGACAGGAUGUCAGACUUAACCUGGGAAAUAAAAUCAGGGACUGUGGUAAAAGUCAAACAAUACGUUAGCACAGUAUGAGAUGCCAGCAGAUGACGAAGCCAACAAAGACAUACAUGAAAGGCUGUGGGGUUAUUUCUGGACUCAAGCAAGCUAGUCUCAAUUAGGAGAAAAGCGGAGGGGCUGGUGGAGUGGAGGAGAGAAAGUCAAUAAUGACGCGAUAGUUCCAUCCUGGAUAAUUUCUUUGAAAGUCAGGAGUUCCAAUCUGUGUAUGGCCUUAUGCCUUCCAGGGUGAAGGAAACAGUCCUCUAAAAAACCUGACUCUGUUCUUUGCUUAAGCUUCUUUAUUAACCAGGCCAAGGUGAGGCAUGGGUUUCAUGCCCCAUUGGUAGUGGUGCAAGCUGUCAUAUUCUGGGUAUUCAUAUCUAAGUAUGCUUUUAAAUCAUAUUUCUCUCUGAUACUGUUAGCUACAAAAAUAAGUCUUAGUACUAUUGCCAGUGGUCCAAUCCCAAUGGUGUGGUUGAGCAUCUAGUUCAUUACUCUGAGCUACGACUCUUGAUGAAGAUGAAGGGUGACACAGUAUUUGUCUUUGUGAAGAAGGUGCAUGUGGAAUACUUGAUGUCCUUGGUGAGAUGGCAGAACUUAAACCACAAGGAGAACAGGAAUUAUGAGGAAUGGUAUCAGAAAGUUUUUUCCAGCUUGAUAGAUGAGAUGGAAAGCAGAGUGGCAGGAAGGGGGCCAAGUACUAUCUCCUUGAAGGAGGGAUGAAAAGUCCUCAGGGGCUGUCUGUCACAGGCAGGAGACUUAUACCAGAACUGUGUUCAAUGAACUUAUCUGAGUUUGACACAUAAUCCCCUACAGCAAGACAAAGAGUAGUAGAUGAAUUACACACUUGGAUACUGUUGGGAGAGAGGGGUAAAAUCCAAGAUGGAAUAGAGCGUAUGUUAUGGGAGAUCAUGAAUAUCAUGGGCUUUGAGUAUUAGAGUUAUGAUGUGAUGAAGAAUCAGCUUGAGACACAGUCUUAUGUUUGUUUUGGCCAUCUGCCUGGAGGCAAGGUGCAGAAAAUGCUUAUACUUGGACAAGUUGUGAAUUAAAUAGAACUUUCUAUCAAUAAUGAACUGGGUGUCAGAAAUCAAGACAUCAUGAUUGGGAAGCUGUGGGGCUGGGGAAUUUCCUUGGAAAAGAGGGGGACUCUAAAUGGUGCUAGUGAGGUGGCCUAAGUUUUGGCAGUGAAGUGUGCCCUUUUUGGGAGACUGUACCCUGGGGUAAGGAAACCUGUGACCCUGAGACUAGAGCCAACCCAUGGUAGAACCCAAGUGUGUAGAAACCUUGGACUUGAGGGUGUUGGCAGAGUGAGGGGCACUCAAACCACCCAGAGACAUCCUUCAUCUGAGAAUGAGUUUUCUAGAUCUCCCUGCAGUGUUUUUGAGGACUUGAGUCCUAGCUGAGCCUUCUGUGAUGCCUCCUAAGUCCUAUCAGUGUGGUGUGCCCACACAUUUUUCUCAACAAAAGUUGCAGAAAUAGGAAUGUAACUAGUGCAACUCAUCUGCAAUAGAGAGCCCUGUGUGGUUUCCAGCUGGGCAGUAGUUUAAAGGAUAGCCCUGUGAAUCUACUCAAAUGGUGUCUUUACUUAAGAUGUCAAUAAAAGGUGGUAAACUUGGGAAUCUCUGAGAAACAUUGAUCUAUAGUGGAAAUUACAUGUAUUUAAGUAUUAAGGUAGUAAAUAUAUGUUGAGAACAUACUACAUGUCAGAUACUGACCUAGGCAUAGAGCAAUAAAAAAUCUCCCAUGGGGAAUUUAAGACCAAGCCACACGGACCUGGAUUCUACUAAUUUCCAGUUUGAUGCCUUGGAGAGGUUACUUGAAUUUUUCUGAAUGUCCAUUUUCUCAUAUAUAAAAUGGCCAUUAUAACCCUGCUCUGCAAGACUGCCAAUUAGAUGAUAUAAUAGCUUUCAAAUACCUGUUAAAGUGUCUAAUAAUCUCAUUUAGCUACUCAGUAAUAAGUAGCCAUAAUUAUUUUAGCAAAUAAUAUUUAAACUCAUAGAAAAAUUGGAAAGUGCUGCACUGGCUUUCCUAUUUUCCUAAUGGCCAUCGUUAUUUAUCCAGUGACUCAGUGCAGAUUUUGAUUCAUUUUCCUUUUCAUAACCAACGUAUCAGAAAGUCCUGUUACUGUUAUUUCUACUUCAAAAUGCAUCUCAAAUCUGUUCACCUCCCUCUGUUUCAGUCUCUACCACCCUAGUUCAAGCUCUCUUCAUCUCCCAUGUAACCCAGAGCAAUAGCUGGUAACCAUGUGCUUACAACACAUUCUAUGCAAAGCAACAGCCUGAGUAUAUUUUCUACAGCACAUAUCAGAUCACAAGGGCCUCUUGCUUAUAAAGGUCCAAUGGAUUUUCAUUGCAUUUGCAAUCCAAAUCUGAAGCUGACAUCAUAACCAGACUUCUCUCAUUCUCUUCCAUUUCUUCUAAUAUCACAUUCCUGCACUAACCCCCUCACCCUGCUUCCUCCAACCUCAGCCUCACUGUGUUCUCAGUUCCCAGCAUACACCAAGCUCUGUGCCACUUCACGGUCUCACACUUGCUAGUCUCUCUGCCUAUGAUUCUCUUCUGGACACUCUUUGCCAAACCACCUCAUUCCUUUCUUUCUGCCCUCAGCCUUACCUCAACCAGCCUGUCAUUCUCUCUCAGCCUCCUCCAUAGCACUUGUCAUAACUUUUGUUUGCUUAUUUACAUGUUUCUCUCAUGUACUGGCCACCACAAAGGUAAAUUCCUAUCUGUUGUGUUCACCUUAGCAUUCUCCAUCCUUGGCUCAAUAGGAAGCACUUAUUAAAUAUUUUUUAAAAUAAAUAAUAUAUUUAUGGUAGAUAAUUGCAGAUUACAUGAUUGUUUAGUUGUUACUCUGUACGAUCAUAGAGUAUGCUGGUUUUAAAGAUUAGCACUUGGUUUAUAUGUGAAUGAACUUUCGAAAUUAGACAUGAUCUUCUCAGUUUUCUUGUCAAAGACUCUAUCUAAAGAUUUGCAUGAGCUAUUCUGGUCCUGGAUAUCUCCCUAUCAGGAAUGCAUUCCUGUUCUAAAUCUGAAUGAAGAUCCACGUUCUAAAUCUCUCAUGACCCUUCCUUCUGUGCUGGUAACUAGGAAAUAUAAAGCACUUUGGAACAUUUCAUUAUUAGUAUUCCCAAUAUGGCAAUGGAAAUGUGGGUAGUGGAAUGAGGCAAUCCAACUGAGGUUUUCUUCAAUGAUAACUCUUCUUGAAAACUACACUCAGUAAGAAAGAAUUCUCAAGCAGGUGCAACGGUGUUUGAGAGAAGCAUAAAUGCAGUGGUUGAGCACAGGUCUUGGAGUCAAAUAAACCUGGAUUUGUAUCUCAGCUCUGUUUUUUACAAACCAUGUAUUUAAACUCUCUGAUCUCUGAAGUGGUUUUGGUAAUUUAAUUAGAUCAUUCGUAUCAUGCAAGUCUUAACAAAUGGUAGCCAUUUUUAACUUUUAGAAGAACAUAAUACAGAAGAAAAAGUUUAUGAGGACAUUGCUAGCUUAAUAUGAGGUUCUUUGAGGGUAAGAGAAAGAGAAUGGAAAGAAAGACAUAGUUCUUUCUUUGUUAAGUUCUUAAACCUUUUCUCAUGAAAAAGAUGUGCCACAUAUCCAUAAUUCAUCCUGGUAAUUAGGUAAACAGUAUACAGAAUAUAAAUCUUACCAUUAAAUAAACUUCAGCAAGUCUCUUUAUCCUGAAGGAAUUCUUAAAGAUUUCAUCAUGAGUAAGCAUUUUUCAGUAUAGAAUUGCCAAAAUACAAAAGAACACCAGAGAACCACUCAAAUUCUAAAAAAAAAAAAAAAAAAAGGAGAAGAAGAGGAAAGAAACCCAAAACCUGUGAUUGAAAAAAGUAAAGUAAAGUAAGAAAAAGAGGCCCUUAGUCAUUCUGUUCCCUUUUAGGCCUAUAUCUUUCAUUUCCUUUGGGAAAUAAAGUUAUAAACUGUGCUGUCAAUAAUCUAGGCUGCUGCCAAGUGAGUUAACCACUCCCAACCCCGUGUCUCCAAAAGAUUCUUUACUACCCUUUGGCCCUAAUUAAAGAAAGAAAAUGUUUUCAGUUUUCCGUCAUGUAUCUUUCCAUGCUGAAUUAUAAAAUAGCUUUCUUGAAAUUCCUUUAAUCAUUUUUACAAAGGAUUAGCAUUAAAUUCACAGAUAAAAAUAAUUUAGUAAUAAUGAUCAAAAUUACCUAACUCCAAUUUGUUUUUACUUUUCUUCUGGGUUUCACUUGCAACCUACAGAGAUAGGAGGACAAAUAACGUAACUGCUUAUAUGAUGAUUUUUUUUUCUUUUCUUUUCUUUUUUUUUUUAACUGUACUUUGGGCUCUGGGGUACCUGUGCAUAUCCUGCAUCCUGCAGCAUUGUUGCAUAGGUACAUACAUGCCAUGGUGGUUUGCUAUCUCUAUCUCCCCCACCACCUGUCACCCACAUUAGGCAUUUCUCCUGGUUAUCCUUCCCCUAUUGACCCUCCCCUCCACUCCCCUUCACCCCCACACCUACCUCAGUGAGUGUUGUUCCCUUCCCUGUGUCCAGGUGUUCUCAUUGUUCCUCACCUGCCUCUGAGUAAAAACAUGCAGUGUUUGGUUUUCAGUUCUUAUGUCAGAUUGCUGAGAAUGAUGGUUUCUAGAUUCAUCCAGGUCUCUACAAAGGACAUGAAUUUGUCAUUUUUUGUGGCUGCAUAGUAUUCCAUAGUACAUGUAUGUGCCACAUUUUCUUUGUCCAUUCUAUCAUUGAUGGGCAUGUGGAUUGGUUCCAGGUCUCUGCUAUUGUAAACAGCACCUCAAUGAACAGAUGUGUGCAUGUGUCUUUAUAAUAGGACAAUUUAUAAUCAUUUAGGUAUAUACCCAGUAAUGGGAUUGCUGGAUCAAAUGGAAUUUCUAUUUCUAGAUCCUUGAGGAAUUACCACACUGUCUUCCAUAAUGGUUGAACUAAUUCACACUCCCAUCAACAGUGUAAAAGAGUUCCUUUUUCUCCACAACGUCUCCAGUAUCUGUUGUCUCCAGAUUUUUUGUUGAUCACCAUUCUAACUGGCGUGAGAUGGUAUCUCAAUGUGGUUUUGAUUUGCAUUUCUCUAAUGACCAAUGAUGAUGAGCAUUUUUUUAUGUUUCUUAGCCAUAUAAAUGUCUUCUUUGGAAAAGUGUCUGUUCAUACCCUUCACCCACUUUUCAAUUGAUUUUUUUCUUGUAAAUAUGUAGUUCUUUGUAGAUUCUGGAUAUUAGCCCUUUGUCAGAUGGGUAGAUUGCAAACAUUUUUUCCCAUUCUUUUGGUUGCUGGUUCACUCUAAUGAUUGUAUCUUUUGCCGCAGAAGCUCUUAAGUUUAAUUAGGUGCCAUUUGUCUAUUUUGGCUCUUGUUGCCAUUACUUUUGGUGUUUUAGCCAUGGAGUCCUUGCCUAUGCCUAUGUCCUAAAUAGUGUUGCCUAGGUUUUCUUCUAGGGUUUAUGUGGUAUUAGUUCUUAUGUUUAAAUCUUUAAUCCAUCUGAAGUUAAUUUUUGUAUAAGGUAUAAGGAAGGGGUCUCAUUUCAGCUUUCUGCACAUGGCUAGCCAGUUUUCCCAACACCAUUUAUUAAACAGGGAAUCCUUUCCCCAUUGUUUGUUUUUGUCUGGUUUGUCAAAGAUCAGAUGGUUGUAGAUGUGUGGCAUUACUUGCAAGGCCUCUGUUCUUUUCCUUCGGACAAUAUCUCUGUUUUGGCAUUGGUACCAUGCUGUUUUGAUUACUGCAGACUUGUAGUAUAGUUUGAAGUCAGGUAGUGUGAUGCCUCCAGCUUUGUUUUCUUUUGGUUUUUGCUUACAGUUAUCUUGGCUGUGCAGGCUCUUUUUUUGGUUUCAUAUGAAGUGUAAGGUGGUUUUUUCCAGUUCUGUGAAGAAGGUCAAUGGUAGUUUGAUGGGGAUAACAUUGAAUCUAUAAAUUACUUUGGGCAGUAUGGCCAUUUUUACAAUAUUGAUUCUUCCUAAGCAUGAUCAUGGAAUGUUUUUCCAUCUGUUUGUGUCCUCUCUUAUUUCCUUGAUCAGUGGUUUGUAGUUCUCCUUGAGAAGGUCUUUUAUAUCCUUUGUUAGUCGUAUUCCUAGGUAUUUUAUUCUCCUGUAGCAAAUGUAAAUGGGAGUUUGCUCAUGAUUUGGCUCUCUGUUUGUCUGUUAUUGGUGUACAGGACUUCUUCACAUUGAUUUUGUAUUCUGAGACUUUGUGGAAGUUGCUUAUCAGCUUAAAGGUUUUGAGCUGAGACGAUGGGGUCUUCUAAAUAUAGAAUCAUGUCAUCUGAAAAUAGGAACAAUUUGACUUCUUCUUUCAUUAUCAAAUGCCCUUUAUUUCUUUUUCUUGUCUAAUUGCUCUGGCUAGAACUUCCAAUACUAUAUUGAAUAGGAAUGAUGAGAGAGGGCAUCCUUGUCUAGUGCCAGUCCAUGAUGAACAUUGAUGCAAAAAUCUUCAGUAAAAUAUUGGGAAACCGAAUCCAACAGCACAUCAAAAAGCUUAUCUACCAUGAUUAAGUAGGCUUCAUCCCAGGGAUGCAAGGCUGGUUCAACAUACACAUGUCUGUAAACAUAAUCCACCAUAUAAACAGAAGCAAAAACAAAAACCACAUGAUUGUCUCAAUAGAUGCAGAGAAGGCCUUUGACAAAAUUCAGCAGCCCUUUAUGCUAAAAAACAUUCAAUAAACUAGGUAUCGAUGGAACAUAUCUCAAAAUAAUAAAAACGAUUUACAACAAACCCACAGCCAAUAUCAUACUGAAAGGGUGAUUUAUUUUAAAUUGAGUGCAAAUUUUUAUUUCUUGAGGCCCCAUUGGCUUCAUGGCAAAUAAUAAAGUUUUUAAGAAUUUAUUCUGUUAAUUUCUGAAAAACAAGGAGCUUCCUGUUGACAACAAUGGCAUGAAUAACAACUCAUAGCUCUGCCCCCCCCCCACACUUUUGAGUUUCAAAACUUUUGAUGAAGUUUUCUGGUUCUUGUUCACUUCUAUUAUUAACAUCUCUCGUGAGAGGGGGCAUUUUGAAUGAAUGGGAUGAAAUCUUCUGAACCGGCUUCUGUCCUAAAUAUAGUGUCUGACAUCAGGUCUGGGGGAAAAAAUUGGGUCAAAAAGAUAGCCUGAGGUUAUUUUUAGGAAGUUAGAUGUUUAGGGAAAUUAAUACUGUGAAAGUUCUGGUCUCUAUCUCUGAGGAUAUUCCAUUAAGAGAUACAUAGAUCUAUUCAACAUCUCGUUUUUUUCCAUUCCUACCCCUUGGGUGUACCGCGUCAUUCACUAUCUUGUGAUUAGAGCAUUAAGCAGAAGCUAGAAACAGAAGAUAGCUAAUGCAACCUUUCCAUUUGGUCCUGUAAUUUUUCUGCACAGAGCUUUAUAGGAUUUCAUUUCAGGUUAACAAGGGGAAGUUGGAACCAAGGAGAAAGCUUAUGCUCUGCCAACAUAUACCAAGGAUUACUAAACUUGGAGGUAGAAAAUAGAACACAGGAAUAAAAAUGGAAAAGUCCUGGCAGAUUUCUCUGCAGCAGACUUCAUCCUUAAAAAGCAGAAUUCCAUCCAGCUCUUCUUGGUGGCAUAAUUCUUCAUCAUGGAAUUAUAGCAUAAAUGCUCUGUUUUUAUGCAUCUCUCUUUUCUAAAGCUGAAUCGAGUGUCUGAAAGACAAACGAUGUGCUUAAUACCACCCUUGUUUUACAGAAGGGAAAUCUAAGAAAACUAUAGCUACCCUCCUGGGAAAACAUAUCUAGGCAUAUACUAACAGUCAUUUAGGCUGCAUCUCUGCACUUCCACACAGAAGGAUAAAUGUCACAUGUUCAUUGAAUGAUCCAGGUGUUUCAAAUAUACAGUUGGUUUAGAUUAGGUAAACAAUGCAUUCAGGUCAUGUGUAAUUUAAUUUUUCAUUUGGAGUUUAUCACUAUGGAGGCAAUCAUAGAUGAGGAAGGUGUUUUUUUUCAUGUCCUAUCUCUUUCAUUUGUCAAGUUCUUUUAAAUGCUGUUAUGCAUGUUAACAGAAAAUAAUAUUUUAUUCAUAAUCAAGGUGGAUGACUUACUGGAUAUCAGGUAUUAUUAACAAAAAGUUUACUGUGUUGUUCAAAUAUUACUAGACAAGGACAAUCUCUAGAAAGUUAACUAAGGUUACUAAGAUUCUAAACAGCCACCACAAACUUUCACAGUUAAUAAUAAUUUCAAAGUUAUUAACAUAACUCUUUCAAGACAUAUUAUACUAGACCAAGGAUGCCAAAUGUAACUUAUUAAUUUCUAUGAUGGCUACUGGGAGACAUCAAUAUUGGUAUACAUUACUCACUGCAAUCCAGACACUUCUACAUCUACUUUUGAGAUUUUUUUAUUCAUCUUUUUAGCAGCCAGGUGUCACUUCUUUUCGCUGUAACAAUUCCUAGUAACAGUUCCCAUAUUCUUCAAACCUGAUGUUAGCAAGGAGGUCAGAUACUCAAGCAUAAUUAGAAUUGAAGAAGCUUGAGCCUCAUAUUUAAGUGUAUUUAAAUAUAUGUUUGAAAAAGAAUUUAUGAGAUUUUAAUUGCAGAUUGAAGGAUAUGAUUUGGUAGCAAAGUGGCUGAAUGAAUGAAAGUCGUUUGAAUUUUCCUUUUUUCUUUCUGUAAAUGGAACCGUGUUCUUGAAAGCCUCUAAGUCUUGAUCUUGUUCCUCAAAAUUCUCAGAGCAGUGGAUGUGGGUCAGGGGUAGGUGUGUCUGGGAAUUAUGAGUAUCUAAUUGAUUUGGUAGCCAUAUUUCUUUUCUUGACACUGAUUAUUGGGAAAUGAAGGGCAAUGCAAUUUAGGCUAUUUCAUUUUCAAUCAAUGUCUGUUACGAAUUCAUGGGAAAUGGCAAUGUGGAAAGAGGAAUAAAUAUUGUAGAUUUCUCUCAUUGUCCUAUACUGGGUGGGAUUUAUAAACAAAUUAUUGACUAUGGGCUAUUGAUGUUUUUUCUUUUCAAUCAGUGUAAACAGCCAAGAGAACUAACUGAUUUAAUUUAAAAAAUAGAUUUGAAAGGCAUGUAGUGGUUAAAACAAGUUACCUUGAUUCAGAUUGCCUGAGUUCAAAUCUCAAGCAGGCUACUUUUUUUUUUUGUGGUGUGCCUUUAGGCAGGGUGCCUCAGUAUCCUCAUAUGUAAAACAGAAAUGUUAAUAACAGCUUACCUCGUGGGGUUGCUGUGAGUGAGUCAAAUGACCUAUGAUAUAUAAUGAGCUAGAACAGUGACUGGCUGAAGUAAGCUCCAUGUAAAUGUUAGUCCUUGAAUAAAAGUAGAGUUCUGGUAGACAUAAUUCCAUAAAAACACCCUUAAACAUUUUUUGAAGUUUCUAUGCCCCCAAAAUAUAAGCUUCCAGACUCUUCUAUGACUGUCAAUAUUUUUUAUACCCAAACCAGGAAAUUAUUAAGAAUCACACCAGAGUAACAGGAAUAAAUCAUGCUGGUCAGGAAAAGGGGUACACUGGUCAUUCGACUUAUAAGAUUACUUGAGUAUUUAUAACAACAAGUAAACAAAACAUUAUUUAGAAGAAGAAAAGUUUACUGAAUUGUACAAAUAUUACUGGACAGGGUAAUUUUUCUCCUUUCUUUCCAAUGUAGUCCAGAACCCCCAUGGAUAUCAAAACUAAAUGCUCAAAUCCCUCAUAUAAAAUGACAUAAUAUCUGCCUAAAAUCCACACACAUUCUCUUGUAUACUUUAAAGAGAUGACUUUUAAUACCUAAUACAAUGUGAAUGUUAUGUAAAU